AGAGUUUGAUCCUGGCUCAGAACGAACGCUGGGCGGCGUGCCUAAUACAUGCAAGUCGAACGAGAAUAUGGGGCAACCCAUUAGUAAAGUGGCAGACGGGUGAGUAAUACGUAGGUAACUUACCCUUGAGAUGGGAAUAACCUUCCGAAAGGAGGGCUAAUACCGAAUGAGACCACGGCUUCCUCGGAAGCUGAGGUUAAAGGCGACCUCUAUUUAUAAGUUGUCGCUCAAGGAUAGGCUUACGCACCAUCAGCUAGUUGGUAGCGUAACGGCCUACCAAGGCUUUGACGGUUAGCUGAUCUGAGAGGUUGAUCAGCCACACUGGAACUGAGACACGGUCCAGACUCCUACGGGAGGCAGCAGUAGGGAAUAUUGCGCAAUGGACGAAAGUCUGACGCAGCGACGCCGCGUGGGUGAUGAAGGCCUUCGGGUCGUAAAGCCCUGUCGAAAGGGAAGAAACACGAUUUGGCUAAUAUCCAAGUCGCUUGACGGUACCUUUAAAGGAAGCACCGGCUAACUACGUGCCAGCAGCCGCGGUAAUGCGUAGGGUGCUAGCGUUGUUCGGAAUCAUUGGGCGUAAAGCGCGUGUAGGUGGUCAGUAAAGUUGGAUGUGAAAUCCCUGGGCUCAACCGAGGAAGUGCAUUCAAAACUCACUGGCUUGAGAAUGGUAGAGGAAGGUGGAAUUCCUAGUGUAGAGGUGAAAUUCGUAGAUAUUAGGAGGAAUACCGGAGGCGAAGGCGGCCUUCUGGACCAUUUCUGACACUGAGACGCGAAAGCGUGGGUAGCAAACAGGAUUAGAUACCCUGGUAGUCCACGCCGUAAACGAUGGGUACUAGAUGUUGCGGGAAUUGACCCCUGCAGUGUCGCAGCUAACGCAUUAAGUACCCCGCCUGGGAAGUACGGUCGCAAGAUUAAAACUCAAAGGAAUUGACGGGGGCCCGCACAAGCGGUGGAGCAUGUGGUUUAAUUCGAUGCAACGCGAAGAACCUUACCUGGGUUUGACAUCCACUGACCUCCAUAGAGAUAUAGAUUUGUAGCAAUACACAGUGAGACAGGUGCUGCAUGGCUGUCGUCAGCUCGUACCGUGAGAUGUCGGGUUAAGUCCCUUAACGAGCGCAACCCUUGUCCUUAGUUGCCACCAUUUAGUUGGGCACUCUAAGGAGACUGCCGGUGUUAAACCGGAGGAAGGUGGGGAUGACGUCAAGUCCUCAUGGCCUUUAUAUCCAGGGCUACACACGUGCUACAAUGGCCGGUACAGAGGGUCGCUAACCCGCGAGGGGGAGCUAAUCUCAGAAAGCCGGUCUUAGUUCGGAUCGAAGUCUGCAAUUCGACUUCGUGAAGCUGGAAUCGCUAGUAAUCGCGGAUCAGAACGCCGCGGUGAAUACGUUCCCGGGCCUUGUACACACCGCCCGUCACACCACGAAAGUUGAUUGCACCAGAAGUCGCUGUCCUAACCGUAAGGAGGGAGGCGCCCAAGGUGCGGUCAAUGAUUGGGGUGAAGUCGUAACAAGGUA
This 1514-nucleotide ribosomal RNA is filed under the name metagenome. Its description in RNAcentral is "bacterial SSU rRNA". It matches the Rfam family "Bacterial small subunit ribosomal RNA". The record is from RNAcentral.